This is a non-coding RNA of Cricetulus griseus (Chinese hamster), 2335 nucleotides long. The record is from RefSeq and is a predicted model, not a curated record. NCBI's taxonomy places the organism in Eukaryota, Metazoa, Chordata, Mammalia, Rodentia, Cricetidae.
UCCCGCCACUUUCUCGAGCUACUUAUGCUCCCGUCUCCUUCCGUGUUGGUGCGGUCGCCUUGGGAACCCUUCUCUUCGGCUUGGCGGCUGCUGGGUGAGCCGGAGUCUGCGGACAGGCUGUGCUGCUCUGGCUGGGACAGAGGUCUCCUGAAUGCUGCUGCACUCACUCCCCCGGGUUCCUGAGUUGUAGGCCUAUGAUCAGACGAGAAGUUGCAAGAAUAUUUAAGAGUUGGAGCUGAAUCUAAUAUUCAAUAAUGGCAACAGGUGACUUAAAAAGAAGUUUGCGUAAACUAGAACAAGUGCUUCGUUGGCUAAAUUACCCUAAUGAUAUAGAUUAUGCUGGUUUGAUGAAGGGGGACACAGCAGCAUCUUUGCCCAUCAUUAGCUACUCUCUUACCUCAUACUCCCCUUAUGUAUCAGAACUUCUGAUGGAAUCCAAUAUAGAGCUCUUAGCAAAGAAUGAUGUGCGCUUCACAGAUACCGUCUAUAAGCUUCUUCGUGAUCAAUUUGAUUAUAAACCAGUUUUGACAAAAAAGCAAUUUAUGCAGUCUGGAUUUGCUGAAUGGAAAAUUCAAAUUGUCUGUGAUAUAUUAAAUUGUGUGAUGAAAAAGCACAAGGAAUUGAUUGGCUCGGACAAGACUUCAUCUUGCCAAAGAAAGAAGAACAUCUCUGAAAAACCAGAGCCUUGUUCAAGCAGUGAGAACCCCCCUGCAGAGGCCAUUGGCAUUGACAUCACUGGCAGGUUUCUGACUUCAGGGAAGAAGAAAGCUGUGGUGAUCCGUCACCUGUAUACUGAAGAUAACAUUGACAUUCCUGAAGGGACAGUAUGUUCAACAGAAGUGAGUGCAGAGUGUGAUGAUUUAGAAGGGAAGUGUUCUGAAGUGAUGAUUGCUGAUGAACAGGCCUCUGAAGUCAAGGCUGAGCUGAAAGAAGUAUGUGAUAAUCCUGAGAUUAUUGCACUUCAGAUGGCACUUGCUGAAUGCCAAGAAAAGCUUAAGAAGCUGGCUUGGGUAGAGAGAAGGCUUGAGUGUCUGGAAGCUACAACAAAAGGAAAAGUGAUGGUGGAUGAGAAGGCCUGGAAUAAUCUCCUAAGUCGAGUCACUGUUCUUGAAACAGAGAUGCUUUUGUCUAAAAAGAAUGAAUGUGUAGAGCUUAAUGCAGCAAGUGAAGACUAUGACUCUGUUAGUGGCACAGAUAUUAUAACCUUUGAUAAAAAAUAUAGUGUGGGGACACCAGCCAGUACUUCUGGCUAUAGUACAAUAUCAUCGGACUCAAUGCCCAGGGGCUCCAUUGUUCAUUACUGUGGCUUGAAAGAUUUUUCAGAGGUUCUGUGUGUUGACUAGUCACCUUGUGCAGUGUUUCAGAGUGUUUUCUGUAUUCAUGGUCCAUCUUUGAGGGUUGUUUACUUUGAGAAAUCGCCUAAAUUUGUUGCUUUUUAAAUUAAAGGAAACAACAAUCCAGAAAAUGGAAAGGAUGAAAAAAAUACCUUGAAAGUCUCAGUCAGGUGUGGAAUUUCCUUCAAGACUCCAGUGGAUAAUAAAUCUCCUUCCAGUAGUGUGUGUGAGAUGAGUCACUGUUUUGUUUCCAGCAAAUGGUGUAAAGCACUGUUUACAGAAUUAAUCAUGGGUUACAAAGGGCAGAGAUGCUUUGGUUGUUAAUUAAUUCAGAUUUCUCUAUGUCUGAUAAUUGAUUUACCAAAACAUUAUGUGUAUGUAGAUGGGUAGUUGGGAGGCAUUCGCAAUAUUAUGUUAGGCUUGCCAGCGUUUCCAAUGAGCUAUUGCUGCAUAUGACUAACAAUGUUGCUUUUACUGGAGACAAAUAACAUUGCAUCUAGUUUUAACAAAGAGUAGUUUAAAGGAAAUAUAUGAUGAAAUGGUAUCAGAAUAUUAUACCCCCCACUACUGUAAAAAAGUACAAAGUUCUUUGACAUUUGAAAAAUUCUAAAAUAACUCAUGCUACAAGAAUUGGCUAAUUUAUGUUUGCUGUCUUGUAUUUACAUGUAUUAAUAGUAAUUACACUAGAGUCAAGUUCAUGUUAGGCUCAGAAGCAUGUAUAUGACAGCUUCAGUCCUGAUCUCCACUAUGAGCUCUGUACUUUGCUGACAUGUGAUUUGUUUCAUUUCAGGUUUGAAGAGACUGCAGAGCUACUGAAAUGCUCAAAUCCCUAACUGUAGAGUUUUUGCAUGAACAUCUCUAGGACUUUGGCUACUUACAUAUGCUAUAUUUAAGAACUCCUUGUAUAAUUUUAAUAUACUAUAAUAUUUUAUUAAGAAUUUGAAUUCAAUUUGGUAUGUGAGUUUCUUUCAUUCCUAAAUAAAUACUUUUUAAUAUUGUAA